Molecule: long non-coding RNA, 732 nt
Organism: Nerophis lumbriciformis (worm pipefish)
Lineage: Eukaryota; Metazoa; Chordata; Actinopteri; Syngnathiformes; Syngnathidae
Source: RefSeq, a predicted model, not a curated record
AACACUAAUUGCUAAACAAAGACAGGUGAGGAGAAUCAGUGCCCAUGGAAAGCGACAGUAAACAGGGAAAGAAGGUGCACCCACCCAGGAAACAGACGGAAACAGGAAAACUCCCAAACAUAAAUCAUGCCAUGACCCAGGAUGGCUGCAAAAUAAUACCGCAAUGUGGCUGAAGAAAGUGGCAACUGUCAGCACCUUGAUAAAGAAGAAGUCUUCUAUAAAGUUACUUUAUCUAUUAAAUGUGUAAUUUCUACGUAUGUUGCAUUGUUUUCUGCAUUUAAACUAAUAACUAUAAUUAUUACCUGGGCUACAAGGUUAUGUGAUCGCCAGGUUUAUCGGUCGGUCAGUAAAUUAGAAAUUUGACAAAAAAAUGUAUGGGUGAAUUUUCAUGAAACUUUAAGGUAAUGUUCGAAAUGGGAUCAGGAACAAGUGAUUAGAUUUUGGGGGUGAACCUGAUGACGCCUACUACAUUAACUUAUGUUAAUGGUACGAGGCUGAACUUUUCUGCUUGUCUAUGGUACCUGCCCGGUCCACGCCUCCACCCACAGGGACAAAGAGAGUGGAUGACUGACAAGAGUGUUGAUCUUAUUCCACUAUACAACAAACGUGACUGACUGCUGUGACCGAUGCAAAAAACGCACCCUCUUGCCCUGUUAUGGAUGGUUGUGGAAGGACACUGAGGAGGAACUCUUCUGCGCACACUUCACUGCAAGUGUGAUUUAUAAAGAGAAG